This 35-nucleotide non-coding RNA is filed under the name uncultured Desulfatiglans sp. Lineage: Bacteria; Pseudomonadati; Thermodesulfobacteriota; Desulfobacteria; Desulfatiglandales; Desulfatiglandaceae. The record is from RNAcentral.
GUUUUCCGGGGCUGUAGUGCCCCGGCCUCAUUGAA